GGGGAAUAUUGGACAAUGGGCGCAAGCCUGAUCCAGCCAUGCCGCGUGAGUGAUGACGGCCUUAGGGUUGUAAAGCUCUUUCAACGGUGAAGAUAAUGACGGUAACCGUAGAAGAAGCCCCGGCUAACUUCGUGCCAGCAGCCGCGGUAAUACGAAGGGGGCUAGCGUUGUUCGGAAUUACUGGGCGUAAAGCGCACGUAGGCGGAUACUUAAGUUAGGGGUGAAAUCCCGAGGCUCAACCUCGGAACUGCCUUUGAUACUGGGUAUCUCGAGUAUGGUAGAGGUAAGUGGAACUCCGAGUGUAGAGGUGAAAUUCGUAGAUAUUCGGAAGAACACCAGUGGCGAAGGCGGCUUACUGGACCAUUACUGACGCUGAGGUGCGAAAGCGUGGGGAGCAAAC
Molecule: ribosomal RNA, 400 nt
Filed under: uncultured bacterium
Lineage: Bacteria
Description: bacterial SSU rRNA
Rfam family: Bacterial small subunit ribosomal RNA
Source: RNAcentral